AACGAACGCUGGCGGCAGGCCUAAUACAUGCAAGUCGAACGAUCUCGCAAGAGAUAGUGGCGCACGGGUGCGUAACACGUGGGAAUUUACCCUUGACUACGGAACAACGUCGGGAAACUGACGCUAAUACCGUAUAAUGACUCCGGUCCAAAGAUUUAUCGGUCAAGGAUGAGCCCGCGCUAGAUUAGGGUAGUUGGUAGGGUAAUGGCCUACCAAGCCUACGAUCUAUAGCUGGUCUGAGAGGAUGAUCAGCCACACUGGAACUGAGACACGGUCCAGACUCCUACGGGAGGCAGCAGUAAGGAAUAUUGGACAAUGGGGGCAACCCUGAUCCAGCCAUGCCGCGUGAGUGACGAAGGCCUCGGUUGUAAGACUCUUCGGAUGUGAAGAUAAUAGACAGUAGACAUAAGAAGAAGACUACCGGCUAAACUACGUGCCAGCAGCCGCGGUAAAGUAC
RNAcentral lists this ribosomal RNA (457 nucleotides) under uncultured bacterium. Its description in RNAcentral is "bacterial SSU rRNA". It matches the Rfam family "Bacterial small subunit ribosomal RNA", at positions 29 to 526 of the family's 1533-position model. The record is from RNAcentral.